AAGUCGUAACAAGGUAACCGUAGGUGAACCUGCGGUUGGAUCAUUACUGAUGUAUUGGGUUGUUUAGCUGAGCUCUUUACUGAGCUCGCUUUUCCCCCCUUCUACACCAUGUGCACUAUAUUGUUUUUUGGGCUGAAUUUGUUUUCAGCCCAGCCAUAUAAACCUCUGUUAAUUAGUCUGACUUGUUUAUUGUAGUAAACGAUAACAACUUUUGACAACGGAUCUCUUGGUUCUC
This 235-nucleotide unclassified non-coding RNA is filed under the name fungal sp. Its description in RNAcentral is "partial internal transcribed spacer region". The stretch from base 1 to 46 matches the Rfam family "Eukaryotic small subunit ribosomal RNA", at positions 1786 to 1831 of the family's 1831-position model. Lineage: Eukaryota; Fungi. The record is from RNAcentral.